CCUACGGGUGGCUGCAGUGGGGAAUAUUGGACAAUGGACCAAAAGUCUGAUCCAGCAAUUCUGUGUGUUUGAUGAAGGCCUUCGGGUUGUAAAGAACUUUAAGUAGGGAAGAAGAAAGUGACGGUACCUACAGAAUAAGCGACGGCUAAAUACGUGCCAGCAGCCGCGGUAAUACGUAUGUCGCAAGCGUUAUCCGGAAUUAUUGGGCAUAAAGCGCGUCUAGGCGGUUUACUAAGUCUGAUGUGAAAAUGCGGGGCUCAACUCCGUAUUGCGUU
This 275-nucleotide ribosomal RNA is filed under the name uncultured bacterium. RNAcentral describes it as "partial 16S ribosomal RNA". It matches the Rfam family "Bacterial small subunit ribosomal RNA", at positions 338 to 627 of the family's 1533-position model. The record is from RNAcentral.